UCCCAGGGUUUAUAAAACCCCUCUUCCUAAUCUUUGAUGAUGACCACCAAAAGGGAUGUUUUUUGAGAUGUGGUAGUGUGGUGAUGCCACAAAAGCUGGGAAUAGGCAUUCUCUUUCAUUGACUUAGAACAAACUUAAGACCUCCUUCUAACAAGAAAAAAAUUUAAGGUGAUGUUAGUAGUAAGAUUUAAUCCAUAGCAAUUUCACAAUUGCCACUAUUUUUGAAAGAAGUAAGCAGUUCUAGUGAGAGCAUUGAUGGAAAGGUCCUGCUACUAGACCCACGAACUAAAGAAGAUUUUCCCUCUAUUUGGCCAAGAUCUAAG
This 323-nucleotide long non-coding RNA is filed under the name Capsicum annuum. RNAcentral describes it as "long non-coding RNA (CANN_LNC005151)". The record is from RNAcentral. Lineage: Eukaryota; Viridiplantae; Streptophyta; Magnoliopsida; Solanales; Solanaceae.